AAUGUUGAAAAAUUAGCGGAUGACCUGUGGCUGGGGGUGAAAGGCCAAUCAAACCGGGAGAUAGCUGGUUCUCCCCGAAAGCUAUUUAGGUAGCGCCUCGUGAAUUCAUCUCCGGGGGUAGAGCACUGUUUCGGCCAGGGGGCCAUCCCGGCUUACCAAUCCGAUGCAAACUGCGAAUACCGGAGAAUGUUAUCACGGGAGACACACGGCGGGUGCUAACGUCCGUCGUGAAGAGGGAAACAACCCAGACCGCCAGCUAAGGUCCCAAAGUCAUGGUUAAGUGGGAAACGAUGUGGGAAGGCCCAGACAGCCAGGAUGUUGGCUUAGAAGCAGCCAUCAUUUAAAGAAAGCGUAAUAGCUCACUGGUCGAGUCGGCCUGCGCGGAAGAUGUAACGGGGCUAAACCAUGCACCGAAGCUGCGGCAGCGAACGUAUCACCCAAGACAACUUUACACAGUUGACGCCUGACGGAGCGAAGCGACGUCAAAGCGUUUUACAACGUCGAGUUGGCUUAGGGAUACGUUCGUUGGGUAGGGGAGCGUUCUGUAAGCCGUUGAAGGUGUGUCGUGAGGCAUGCUGGAGGUAUCAGAAGUGCGAAUGCUGACAUAAGUAACGAUAAAGCGGGUGAAAAGCCCGCUCGCCGGAAGACCAAGGGUUCCUGUCCAACGUUAAUCGGGGCAGGGUGAGUCGACCCCUAAGGCGAGGCCGAAAGGCGUAGUCGAUGGGAAACGGGUUAAUAUUCCCGUACUUGGUGUUACUGCGAAGGGGGGACGGAGAAGGCUAUGUUGGCCGGGCGACGGUUGUCCCGGUUUAAGCGUGUAGGUGUGUGUUCCAGGUAAAUCCGGUUCACUUUAACACUGAGGCGUGAUGACGAGGCACCACGGUGCUGAAGCAACAAAUGCCCUGCUUCCAGGAAAAGCCUCUAAGCCUCAGGUAACAUCAAAUCGUACCCCAAACCGACACAGGUGGUCAGGUAGAGAAUACCAAGGCGCUUGAGAGAACUCGGGUGAAGGAACUAGGCAAAAUGGUGCCGUAACUUCGGGAGAAGGCACGCUGACACGUAGGUGAAGUGGUUUACCCAUGGAGCUGAAGUCAGUCGAAGAUACCAGCUGGCUGCAACUGUUUAUUAAAAACACAGCACUGUGCAAACACGAAAGUGGACGUAUACGGUGUGACGCCUGCCCGGUGCCGGAAGGUUAAUUGAUGGGGUCAGCGCAAGCGAAGCUCCUGAUCGAAGCCCCGGUAAACGGCGGCCGUAACUAUAACGGUCCUAAGGUAGCGAAAUUCCUUGUCGGGUAAGUUCCGACCUGCACGAAUGGCGUAAUGAUGGCCAGGCUGUCUCCACCCGGGACUCAGUGAAAUUGAACUCGCUGUGAAGAUGCAGUGUACCCGCGGCAAGACGGAAAGACCCCGUGAACCUUUACUAUAGCUUGACACUGAACACUGGUCCUUGAUGUGCAGGAUAGGUGGGAGGCUUUGAAGUGUGGACGCCAGUCUGCAUGGAGCCAUCCUUGAAAUACCACCCUUUAAUGGCUGGUGUUCUAACGUGGGCCCGUGAACCGGGUUGCGGACAGUGUCUGGUGGGUAGUUUGACUGGGGCGGUCUCCUCCUAAAGAGUAACGGAGGAGCACGAAGGUUGGCUAAUCCUGGUCGGACAUCAGGAGGUUAGUGCAAUGGCAUAAGCCAGCUUGACUGCGAGCGUGACGGCGCGAGCAGGUGCGAAAGCAGGUCAUAGUGAUCCGGUGGUUCUGAAUGGAAGGGCCAUCGCUCAACGGAUAAAAGGUACUCCGGGGAUAACAGGCUGAUACCGCCCAAGAGUUCAUAUCGACGGCGGUGUUUGGCACCUCGAUGUCGGCUCAUCACAUCCUGGGGCUGAAGUAGGUCCCAAGGGUAUGGCUGUUCGCCAUUUAAAGUGGUACGCGAGCUGGGUUUAGAACGUCGUGAGACAGUUCGGUCCCUAUCUGCCGUGGGCGCUGGAAGAUUGAGGGGGGCUGCUCCUAGUACGAGAGGACCGGAGUGGACGCAUCACUGGUGUUCGGGUUGUCAUGCCAAUGGCACUGCCCGGUAGCUACAUGCGGAAGAGAUAAGUGCUGAAAGCAUCUAAGCACGAAACUUGCCCCGAGAUGAAUCUUCCCUGAGCCUUUAAGGCUCCUGAAGGAACGUUGAAGACGACGACGUUGAUAGGCCGGGUGUGUAAGCGCAGCGAUGCGUUGAGCUAACCGGUACUAAUGAACCGUGAGGCUUAACCUU
Molecule: ribosomal RNA, 2249 nt
Filed under: Salmonella enterica
Lineage: Bacteria; Pseudomonadati; Pseudomonadota; Gammaproteobacteria; Enterobacterales; Enterobacteriaceae
Description: partial 23S ribosomal RNA
Rfam family: Bacterial large subunit ribosomal RNA
Source: RNAcentral